Bos taurus (domestic cattle) is the source of this 596-nucleotide long non-coding RNA. The record is from Ensembl. Lineage: Eukaryota; Metazoa; Chordata; Mammalia; Artiodactyla; Bovidae.
AAAAUGAGAGCUUUCCAAAGAGAUCUAAAGAACAGCUAAUAGGGGUGUAUGAUGAUUUCUUACCAUAGAUCAUGGCUAUUCAAACUGUGGCCCAUAGAUCAGCAGCAUUGCCAUCACCUGGGAGCUUGUUCAAAAUGCAGAAUCUUGGGCUGCAGCUCAGACCUACUGAAUCAGAAGCUACAUUUAACAAGAUAACCCAGGCUCCUUCCCUCCGGAUUUCAUUCUGUUUAUAAAUAUUGAAGCUGAAAUGUAAACCACUUUGAAACUCUUCUCCUGAAGGCCUGCAUGUCCUGGUUGCCUUCGGGUUCAUUGAGUUUAACAACCAUGAUGCAGCCAGAUCUUUGAGGUGUCACCUGCCACCUGAACCCCUUUUCCAGAAUUGUCUAAAGGAAAAGUCCAUGACUUCACCUGUAUCCCUAAAAUUCACGUGUAAUCCAUGACAUUUCACCCAGAUGAACUAGCUGUUGGUUUUUGCAUUUCUUUCUUUCACUCUAUAAGCAAGUUCAUCUAUUCCCAGGUCUAAUAGACACAUGUACUUGAUCAGAAUCUGGCUUUUUUCCCCCCAUGGUUCUUUCAGACUUCUGAUUAAAUUAUAG